CAGCAGCCGCGGUAAUACGAAGGGGGCUAGCGUUGCUCGGAAUCACUGGGCGUAAAGGGUGCGUAGGCGGGUCUUUAAGUCAGAGGUGAAAGCCUGGAGCUCAACUCCAGAACUGCCUUUGAUACUGGAGAUCUCGAGUUCGGGAGAGGUGAGUGGAACUGCGAGUGUAGAGGUGAAAUUCGUAGAUAUUCGCAAGAACACCAGUAGCGAAGGCGGCUCACUGGCCCGAUACUGACGCUGAGGCACGAAAGCGUGGGGAGCAAACAGGAUUAGAUACCCCGGUAGUCCCUGUCUCUUAUAC
Molecule: ribosomal RNA, 301 nt
Filed under: uncultured bacterium
Lineage: Bacteria
Description: partial 16S ribosomal RNA
Rfam family: Bacterial small subunit ribosomal RNA
Source: RNAcentral